GAUGAACGCUGGCGGCGUGCCUAAUACAUGCCAGUCGAGCGAACAGACGAGGAGCUUGCUCCUCUGACGUUAGCGGCGGACGGGUGAGUAACACGUGGAUAACCUACCUAUAAGACUGGGAUAACUUCGGGAAACCGGAGCUAAUACCGGAUAAUAUAUUGAACCGCAUGGUUCAAUAGUGAAAGACGGUUUUGCUGUCACUUAUAGAUGGAUCCGCGCCGCAUUAGCUAGUUGGUAGGGUAACGGCUUACCAAGGCGACGAUGCGUAGCCGACUUGAGAGGGUGAUCGGCCAAACUGGAACUGAGACACGGUCCAGACUCCUACGGGAGGCAGCAGUAGGGAAUCUUCCGCAAUGGGCGAAAGCCGGACGGAGCAACGCCGCGUGAGUGAUGAAGGUCUUCGGAUCGUAAAACUCUGUUAUUAGGGAAGAACAAAUGUGUAAGUAACUAUGCACGUCUUGACGGUACCUAAUCAGAAAGCCACGGCUAACUACGUG
Molecule: ribosomal RNA, 497 nt
Filed under: uncultured bacterium
Lineage: Bacteria
Description: partial 16S ribosomal RNA
Rfam family: Bacterial small subunit ribosomal RNA
Source: RNAcentral